This 330-nucleotide unclassified non-coding RNA is filed under the name fungal sp. RNAcentral's name for it is "partial internal transcribed spacer region". Lineage: Eukaryota; Fungi. The record is from RNAcentral.
AAGUGAACUUUCAAUCCUGCUCUUGUCACCCGCGUAGUUCGCAAUCUCUGGUAAAUCAUAGCCCGGAAAGUUGUUUUGAUUCAGAGACCUCUGGCUACGUGAGAACAUUGGAACAGUUACAAUCGAGCGGUCAUUGUUUCCCCAAGCAGUCAGUGUCGGAAAGUGUCACUGAUUGUGCAAGGAUAGCGCUUCACGAUUCCUGUAGACCGUACACUCGGAUGCCAAAGGGUCCCCAUGCCCCCUUAUAACCCCACAGUUUAAUGUAAAGCUCAAUGUAAUACAUUGGGUAAAAAAACCGAACAACUGUUAACAAUGGAUAUCUUGGUUCUC